GGUAACAGAAGUGGCAUGGUAAACCCCACCCGGAGCAAGAUCAAAUAGAGGAACAGACGCGUGGCCCGCGCGGUUCCUGGGUAGAUUGCUUGAGCUGCAAGGUGACUUGCAGCCUAGAUGAAUGGCUGUUCUCGACAGAACCCGGCUUACAGGCUGGCUCUUUCU
Molecule: RNase P RNA, 165 nt
Filed under: Methylococcaceae bacterium
Lineage: Bacteria; Pseudomonadati; Pseudomonadota; Gammaproteobacteria; Methylococcales; Methylococcaceae
Description: partial RNase P RNA component class A
Rfam family: Bacterial RNase P class A
About the family: Ribonuclease P (RNase P) is a ubiquitous endoribonuclease, found in archaea, bacteria and eukarya as well as chloroplasts and mitochondria. Its best characterised activity is the generation of mature 5'-ends of tRNAs by cleaving the 5'-leader elements of precursor-tRNAs. Cellular RNase Ps are ribonucleoproteins.
Source: RNAcentral